GAUCAUGGCUCAGAUUGAACGCUGGCGGAACGCUUUACACAUGCAAGUCGAACGGUAACGCGGAGAGAAGCUUGCUUCUCACCGGCGACGAGUGACGAACGGGUGAGUAAUACAUCGGAACGUGUCCGCUCGUGGGGGACAACCAGCCGAAAGGUUGGCUAAUACCGCAUGAGUUCUACGGAAGAAAGAGGGGGACCCGCAAGGGCCUCUCGCGAGCGGAGCGGCCGAUGACUGAUUAGCCGGUUGGUGAGGUAACGG
This 258-nucleotide ribosomal RNA is filed under the name uncultured bacterium. RNAcentral's name for it is "partial 16S ribosomal RNA". It matches the Rfam family "Bacterial small subunit ribosomal RNA", at positions 15 to 263 of the family's 1533-position model. The record is from RNAcentral.